This is a non-coding RNA of Pan troglodytes (chimpanzee), 148 nucleotides long. It matches the Rfam family "Metazoan signal recognition particle RNA". From Rfam's summary of the family: The signal recognition particle (SRP) is a universally conserved ribonucleoprotein. It is involved in the co-translational targeting of proteins to membranes. The record is from Rfam. Lineage: Eukaryota; Metazoa; Chordata; Mammalia; Primates; Hominidae.
GCCGGGUGUGGAAGCGUGCGCCUGUAGUCCCAGCUACUAGGGAGGCUGAGGUGGGAGGAUCACCUGAGCCCAGGAAGUCGAGGCUGCAGUGAGCCAUGAUGGCACCACUGCACUCCAGCCUGGGCAUCAGAGUGAGAUCCUGUCUCAA